UACGGAGGGUGCAAGCGUUAUCCGGAUUCACUGGGUUUAAAGGGUGCGUAGGUGGGAAUGUAAGUCAGUGGUGAAAUCUCCGUGCUUAACAUGGAAACUGCCAUUGAUACUAUGUUUCUUGAAUUUUCUGGAGGUAAGCGGAAUAUGUCAUGUAGCGGUGAAAUGCUUAGAUAUGACAUAGAACACCAAUUGCGAAGGCAGCUUACUACAGGGAUAUUGACACUGAGGCACGAAAGCGUGGGGAGCAAACAGG
RNAcentral lists this ribosomal RNA (253 nucleotides) under uncultured bacterium. RNAcentral's name for it is "partial 16S ribosomal RNA". It matches the Rfam family "Bacterial small subunit ribosomal RNA", at positions 524 to 776 of the family's 1533-position model. The record is from RNAcentral.